Molecule: ribosomal RNA, 497 nt
Filed under: uncultured bacterium
Lineage: Bacteria
Description: partial 16S ribosomal RNA
Rfam family: Bacterial small subunit ribosomal RNA
Source: RNAcentral
GAUGAACGCUGGCGGCGUGCCUAAUACAUGCAAGUCGAGCGAACAGACGAGGAGCUUGCUCCUCUGACGUUAGCGGCGGACGGGUGAGUAACACGUGGAUAACCUACCUAUAAGACUGGGAUAACUUCGGGAAACCGGAGCUAAUACCGGAUAAUAUAUUGAACCGCAUGGUUCAAUAGUGAAAGACGGUUUUGCUGUCACUUAUAGAUGGAUCCGCGCCGCAUUAGCUAGUUGGUAAGGUAACGGCUUACCAAGGCAACGAUGCGUAGCCGACCUGAGAGGGUGAUCGGCCACACUGGAACUGAGACACGGUCCAGACUCCUACGGGAGGCAGCAGUAGGGAAUCUUCCUCAAUGGGCGAAAGCCUGACGGAGCAACGCCGCGUGAGUGGUGAAGGUCUUCGGAUCGUAAAACUCUGUUAUUAGGGAAGAACAAAUGUGUAAGUAACUAUGCACGUCUUGACGGUACCUAAUCAGAAAGCCACGGCUAACUACGUG